AAGGUCUACCAUAUCACCCUGCAACUCACAACUGGCAACCCACUAAAGCUAAGCAGGUGUGAGCUUGGUCAGUACCUGGAUGGGAGACCUCCUGGGAAAAACUUAGGUUGCUGCCGUUA
RNAcentral lists this ribosomal RNA (119 nucleotides) under Lepisosteus oculatus (spotted gar). The record is from RNAcentral. Lineage: Eukaryota; Metazoa; Chordata; Actinopteri; Semionotiformes; Lepisosteidae.